Molecule: long non-coding RNA, 821 nt
Organism: Musca domestica (house fly)
Lineage: Eukaryota; Metazoa; Arthropoda; Insecta; Diptera; Muscidae
Exons: 2
Source: RefSeq, a predicted model, not a curated record
CCAGUCGUUCUGGUAGCUACCCCACAAAGAGGUAAGAAUUUUGAAUAAUUAGAUCUCUCAUAAAAUGCGAAACAAUCAUCCGAUUCCUUCUAAAAUUCGCGACUUGAAUAACACAAGAUCUGAUGUGACGAUUACAGAUACGAACCAACUCCUUCUGGUACCUUCCCUAAAAAGAAUUUCAAUUUUCUAUAACAGCCUGUUCCACGAUCUCGAAAGAAAAUUUGUGCGAACGAAGGCUACUCACUCACUUUCGCAUAAGAAUGCGUUCCACUAACUUUCGUUCUUUCUUUCGCAUAGCCUCACGUGAUUCAGUGUUGCAAAAUAUUUUUUGGCAAAAUUAAUCGCGAAAUAAGGCAAAAAAAAGCGCCAAAUGUCUAAUUUAAACGCGAAAAAGCAGCAGUGGCUCUGUCUCAACUGACAGUUCAGUUGUAAACAAACAAAUUGUAAAUAAACAAACAAAAUAAAAUUUCUAGUGAUUGUGUUCAGAUUAUUUGUGUUCUUAAAAAAGAAAAAAAAUGUAUAUUUCUGUAGCCCUAUUUUUUAUGGAUGAUGAGGAGGAGGUUCAAAUUGUGCCACGGAGGCAUUUAAGAGAUGCUUCGAAUUUAUUUGAAGUACCUAACAACCAGUUUGUGUCUUCCAGUGGUCUUCAUGGGAUUGCCUGCUGCUUCCAAAAAUUGGCACUCCUCUGCCGAACUUAGGAUUCUCCCCCAUAUACUCAACUAGUGCCCGCAGCUGUGUAGUUUUUUCGUGCUGGAAUUGAGAAAAUAAAAAAAUGUAUAUUUGUUGUUCACAGAUUAAAUUGCAUUUAUUAUUUUUACUUA